CCCCCUGGUACCUCGGAUUGAGCUCCACUCCCAGGAACGCGCGCUGACCCCGCCGACCUCCGCGAUCCCCUGGCCCAGAUCUACCCCCUCAGGUCCCCAGGCUCGUCCUGCCUGCACGGCUUGGCUCGUGGGUCCCCUCUUCCUUCCCCACCCUACCCCGCACACUCACGGGCUCUCCCAGGGCAGCGCCCAGGCCCGCGUGCCCAGUGUCUCAGACUGGUUCUGGCCUGGCUGACCUCCCCGACCAGAGGAAGGGCUGGGCCGCUGGCGUUGGGGUACCGACCCCGGCCUCCCCACAACACAGUUCCUGGAAAACUUAAAAAGCGCUUUAGUGAGAUGAGAUGACAGUUCGGUGGAAACCCACAUGCCACAGGCCCGGGCUUCAGAGUGUGUUUCUGGGCGCUCUCUUCAGUUGAGGGGUCGUUUUUGUCCCUUUCUUCCGAAACUUUCCUGUCUUUGAAUGAGCCUGCUCCUGAAACAGGUUCUAACUUUGAGCAAGUUUCAUGGGGCGAAAGUUGGAAACCAUCUAGAGGCUCCUGUUGGAGGGACUAUUAAGGACAUACGGUCACUAACCACGGGGUGGCCAGCGGGUGCCCAAAUGUGACCCCCAACGUGGGGACCUGCAUCUGUAUUGGGAGCAGGUAUGGGAUCCCAAGCCUUACUUGGCUUUUCUGACUUCUGCAGUGACCUUGCUUUGCUUUCAGUAAGGAUGGAGCAGAGCUGGGGGAGGAGGCGUAAACGGCAACAGAAAAGAACCCCAGAAUUUUCAGGACGUUUCCUCCCAGGAGGGGGCUGCCGCUCAGAGCCGGAACCAGUCUGGGUGCUCACGUUCACCAGGGCAGCCCCUCAGCCUGCAGGGCUGGGAAGCACCGUGUCAACAAGCCGAGGGUGAGCGCCUGCUGUUUCCUCCCUCCGGGACACCUCCUCUCCCUCGGAGCUCUGUCCCCGCACCUCGCGGGGGUGACAGCCACGUGGUGCUCUGCGCAGCGACACAGCGUUGGGGUCCCACGUGACUCCUGCUCUGGCCUCGGAACAUCCCCCAACGACGUGCAGCAGAGGGGUGCGUUCUCACCCCGACCCACGGAGCUGCUGCAACCGGGUGAAGGGGCGCUUUCCUAAACGGCUGCUGCCCUCUUCCCCGCCCUCGCCGUGCCCCCCGCCUCGGAGGGUAAUGG
Bos taurus (domestic cattle) is the source of this 1175-nucleotide long non-coding RNA. The record is from Ensembl. Lineage: Eukaryota; Metazoa; Chordata; Mammalia; Artiodactyla; Bovidae.